This 497-nucleotide ribosomal RNA is filed under the name uncultured bacterium. RNAcentral describes it as "partial 16S ribosomal RNA". It matches the Rfam family "Bacterial small subunit ribosomal RNA", at positions 28 to 507 of the family's 1533-position model. The record is from RNAcentral.
GAUGAACGCUGGCGGCGUGCCUAAUACAUGCAAGUCGAGCGAACGGACGAGAAGCUUGCUUCUCUGAUGUUAGCGGCGGACGGGUGAGUAACACGUGGAUAACCUACCUAUAAGACUGGGAUAACUUCGGGAAACCGGAGCUAAUACCGGAUAAUAUUUUGAACCGCAUGGUUCAAAAGUGAAAGACGGUCUUGCUGUCACUUAUAGAUGUAUCCGCGCUGCAUUAGCUAGUUGGUAAGGUAACGGCUUACCAAGGCAACGAUGCAUAGCCGACCUGAGAGGGUGAUCGGCCACACUGGAACUGAGACACGGUCCAGACUCCUACGGGAGGAAGAAGUAGGGAAUCUUGCGAAAGGGGCGAAAGCCUGACGGAGCAACGCCGCGUGAGUGAUGAAGGUCUUCGGACCGUAAAACUCUGUUAUUAGGGAAGACCAUAUGUGUAAGUAACUGUGCACAUCUUGACGGUACCUAAUCAGAAAGCCACGGCUAACUACGUG